RNAcentral lists this ribosomal RNA (465 nucleotides) under uncultured bacterium. Its description in RNAcentral is "partial 16S ribosomal RNA". It matches the Rfam family "Bacterial small subunit ribosomal RNA", at positions 338 to 795 of the family's 1533-position model. The record is from RNAcentral.
CCUACGGGUGGCAGCAGUAGGGAAUCUUCCACAAUGGGCGAAAGCCUGAUGGAGCAACGCCGCGUGGGUGAAGAAGGUCUUCGGAUCGUAACACCCUGUUGUUAGAGAAGAAAGUGCGGGAGAGUAACUGUUCACGUUUCGACGGUAUCUAACCAGAAAGGCACGGCUAACUACGUGCCAGAAGCCGCGGUAAUACGUAGGUGGCAAGCGUUAUCCGGAUUUAUUUGGCGUAAAGGGAACGCAGGCGGUCUUUUAAGUCUGAUGUGAAAGCCUUCGGCUUAACCGGAGUAGUGCAUUGGAAGCUGGUAGACUUGAGUGCAGAAGAGGAGAGUGGAACUCCAUGUGUAGCGGUGAAAUGCGUAGAUAUAUGGAAGAACACCAGUGGCGAAAGCGGCUCUCUGGUCUGUAACUGACGCUGAGGUUCGAAAGCGUGGGUAGCAAACAGGAUUAGAUACCCUAGUAGUC